This 373-nucleotide ribosomal RNA is filed under the name uncultured organism. Its description in RNAcentral is "partial 16S ribosomal RNA". It matches the Rfam family "Bacterial small subunit ribosomal RNA", at positions 527 to 896 of the family's 1533-position model. The record is from RNAcentral.
GUAGGGUGCAAGCGUUAAUCAGAAUUACUGGGCGUAAAGCGUGCGCAGGCGGUUGUGCAAGACAGAUGUGAAAUCCCCGGGCUCAACCUGGGAACUGCAUUUGUGACUGCACGGCUAGAGUGUGUCAGAGGGGGGUAGAAUUCCACGUGUAGCAGUGAAAUGCGUAGAUAUGUGGAGGAAUACCGAUGGCGAAGGCAGCCCCCUGGGAUAACACUGACGCUCAUGCACGAAAGCGUGGGGAGCAAACAGGAUUAGAUACCCCUGGUAGUCCCACGCCCCUAAACGAUGUCAACCUAGUUGUCGGGUCUUAAUUGACUUGGUAACGCAGCUAACGCGUGAAGUUGACCGCCUGGGGAGUACGGUCGCAAGAUUA